GCUUGUCUCAAAGAUUAAGCCAUGCAUGUCUAAGUAUAAACAAAUUUAUAGUGAAACUGCGAAUGGCUCAUUAUAUCAGUUAUAGUUUAUUUGGCGAUAAAAACUACUUGGAUAACCGUGGUAAUUCUAGUGCUAAUACAUGCAACGAUCCCCGACUUUUGAAGGGGAGUAUUUAUUAGAUUAAAAAACCAAUCGUAGCGAUACGUUUUUUGGUGAAUCAUGAUAACUUUUCGAAUCGCACGACAUUGUUGGCGAUGGUUCAAUCAAAUUUCUGCCCUAUCACCUUUCGAUGGUAGUAUAGAGGACUACCAUGGGUAUAACGGGUAACGGAGAAUUAGGGUUCGAUUCCGGAGAGGGAGCCUGAGAAACGGCUACCACAUCCAAGGAAGGCAGCAGG
RNAcentral lists this ribosomal RNA (397 nucleotides) under uncultured Rhizophydiales. Its description in RNAcentral is "partial small subunit ribosomal RNA". It matches the Rfam family "Eukaryotic small subunit ribosomal RNA", at positions 30 to 432 of the family's 1831-position model. Lineage: Eukaryota; Fungi; Chytridiomycota; Chytridiomycetes; Rhizophydiales. The record is from RNAcentral.